This 1343-nucleotide ribosomal RNA is filed under the name uncultured bacterium. RNAcentral's name for it is "16S ribosomal RNA". It matches the Rfam family "Bacterial small subunit ribosomal RNA", at positions 8 to 1368 of the family's 1533-position model. The record is from RNAcentral.
AGAGUUUGAUUUUGGCUCAGGACGAACGCUGGCGGCGCGCCUAACACAUGCAAGUCGAACGGAGCUGAGAGGAGCUUGCUUUUCUUAGCUUAGUGGCGAACGGGUGAGUAACGCGUGAGUAACCUGCCCUGGAGUGGGGGACAACAGUUGGAAACGACUGCUAAUACCGCAUAAGCCCACGAUCCGGCAUCGGAUUGAGGGAAAAGGAUUUAUUCGCUUCAGGAUGGACUCGCGUCCAAUUAGCUAGUUGGUGAGGUAACGGCCCACCAAGGCGACGAUUGGUAGCCGGACUGAGAGGUUGAACGGCCACAUUGGGACUGAGACACGGCCCAGACUCCUACGGGAGGCAGCAGUGGGGGAUAUUGCACAAUGGGGGAAACCCUGAUGCAGCGACGCCGCGUGGAGGAAGAAGGUUUUCGGAUUGUAAACUCCUGUCGUUAGGGACGAUAAUGACGGUACCUAACAAGAAAGCACCGGCUAACUACGUGCCAGCAGCCGCGGUAAAACGUAGGGUGCAAGCGUUGUCCGGAAUUACUGGGUGUAAAGGGAGCGCAGGCGGACCGGCAAGUUGGAAGUGAAAACUAUGGGCUCAACCCAUAAAUUGCUUUCAAAACUGCUGGCCUUGAGUAGUGCAGAGGUAGGUGGAAUUCCCGGUGUAGCGGUGGAAUGCGUAGAUAUCGGGAGGAACACCAGUGGCGAAGGCGACCUACUGGGCACCAACUGACGCUGAGGCUCGAAAGCAUGGGUAGCAAACAGGAUUAGAUACCCUGGUAGUCCAUGCCGUAAACGGAUGAUUACUAGGUGGUGGAGGGUUGACCCCUCCAGUGCCGCAGUUAACACAAUAAGUAAUCCACCUGGGGAGUGCGACCGCAAGGUUGAAACUCAAAGGAAUUGACGGGGGCCCGCACAAGCAGUGGAGUAUGUGGUUUAAUUCGAAGCAACGCGAAGAACCUUACCAGGUCUUGACAUCCGAUGAAUAGCUUAGAGAUAAAUGAAGUCCUUCGGGACAUCGAGACAGGUGGCGCAUGGUUGUCGUCAGCUCGUGUCGUGAGAUGUUGGGUUAAGUCCCGCAACGAGCGCAACCCUUAUUGCCAGUUACUACGUAAGAGGACUCUGGCGAGACUGCCGUUGACAAAACGGAGGAAGGUGGGGAGGACGUCAAAUCAUCAUGCCCUCUAUGACCUGGGCUACACACGUACUACAAUGGCGUUUAACAAAGAGAAGCAAGACCGCGAGGUGGAGCAAAACUCAAAAACAACGUCUCAGUUCAGAUUGCAGGCUGCAACUCGCCUGCAUGAAGUCGGAAUUGCUAGUAAUCGCGGAUCAGCAUGCCGCGGUGAAUA